RNAcentral lists this ribosomal RNA (468 nucleotides) under uncultured bacterium. RNAcentral's name for it is "partial 16S ribosomal RNA". It matches the Rfam family "Bacterial small subunit ribosomal RNA", at positions 28 to 507 of the family's 1533-position model. The record is from RNAcentral.
GACGAACGCUGGCGGCGUGCUUAACACAUGCAAGUCGAACGGAAAGGCCCUGCUUUUGUGGGGUGCUCGAGUGGCGAACGGGUGAGUAACACGUGAGUAACCUGCCCUUGACUUUGGGAUAACUUCAGGAAACUGGGGCUAAUACCGGAUAGGAGCUCCUGCUGCAUGGUGGGGGUUGGAAAGUUUCGGCGGUUGGGGAUGGACUCGCGGCUUAUCAGCUUGUUGGUGGGGGAGUGGCUUACCAAGGCUUUGACGGGUAGCCGGCCUGAGAGGGUGACCGGCCACAUUGGGACUGAGGUAAGGCCCAGACUCCUACGGGAGGCAGCAGUGGGGAAUAUUGCACAAUGGGGGGAAGCCUGAUGCAGCAACGCCGCGGGCGGGAUGACGGCCUUCGGGCUGUAAACCGCUUUCGCCUGUGACGAAGCGUGAGUGACGGUAAUGGGUAAAGAAGCACCGGCUAACUACGUG